CGAUUUGUUUGCUGUUUAAUAAUGAUUUACGAUGUGUUUUGUCAUAUCUAGGGUUUGCUUGUGGUCUUUCGUAUCCGUCAAAACCCUAAUCGACCGGAGAAAUCGUCAAAAGUUCUUCACAAUAUGAUCGUUCCACAUAAUUUGCAGGUGAAGAGCUUCUUUCAGACUCCUUCCCCUACAAGGAACUAUUGAAUGGGUUCCUAUGAGAAGUUGAAGA
Molecule: long non-coding RNA, 217 nt
Organism: Helianthus annuus (common sunflower)
Lineage: Eukaryota; Viridiplantae; Streptophyta; Magnoliopsida; Asterales; Asteraceae
Exons: 3
Source: RefSeq, a predicted model, not a curated record